Molecule: RNA transcript, 3469 nt
Organism: Zingiber officinale
Lineage: Eukaryota; Viridiplantae; Streptophyta; Magnoliopsida; Zingiberales; Zingiberaceae
Gene name: tubulin beta chain-like
Exons: 10
Source: RefSeq, a predicted model, not a curated record
CAUGAAAGCUUGCAAAGAAUACGUGAAAGAAAGCUUGUUAAUUUUAUUGAGUGGGGACCAGGCUAGCAUUCAGGUUGCAUUUUCUAGAAAAUCACCAUACAUCUAAACUACUCAUCGGGGCAAACUGCUUAGGCUCCUAUGAAGUUUCAUUUGCUCUCCAUUUCCACGCGGUCAAAUUGGUCAUCGUAUGCCUCUCAGGACGUCGCUUCUCUCAGGGCAAACAGCUUAGGCUCCUAUGAAGUUUUGUUCGCUCUCCAUUACCACGCGGUCAAAUUGGUCAUCGUUGGCCUCUCAGGACGCCGCUUCUCUCAGGGUGAACAAGUUGUAGAUGAUAUCAUGGAUAUGGUUGACAGAGAAGCUGAUGGAAGUGAUAGUCUUGAAGGAUUUGUAUUAUGCCACUCGAUUUCUGGAGGAACAGGUUCAGGUACAUGAAAGCUUGCAAAGAAUACGUGAAAGAAAGCUUGUUAAUUUUAUUGAGUGGGGACCAGGCUAGCAUUCAGGUUGCAUUUUCUAGAAAAUCACCAUACAUCUAAACUACUCAACGGGGUGAACAAGUUGUAGAUGAUAUCAUGGAUAUGGUUGACAGAGAAGCUGAUGGAAGUGAUAGUCUUGAAGGAUUUGUAUUAUGCCACUUGAUUUCUGGAGGAACAGGUUCAGUGAAGGUGCUCCGCUUCUGCAAUCACAAGUCGUUAGUGCUAAGCCGGGAAGGGGUUCCCGGCGACGACCCUCCGACGGUCAAGUCACACAACAGCAGGAGGAGAAAAUAGAGGAAGCAUAGAAGUGAAUGGUGGUGCCAAAAGACGUAUGCGCGUACCGCCACGGAUGGCCACCUCCUUCCUUAUAUAGAGCUUCGGCGGGCUGACUGCACACUUCCCGGGCAGACGCGCAUUCCCAAACUUUCCCCAAAAGCUAACAUCGAGAAAGGAUCCCUGACGUCUUACUAUAACGGGAUGCACAUCCCUGUCAAGGCGGCAGAAUCUUCUCCCGUACGAUUUUCUGUCCAUCAGCGCCAUCAGGCAGCGCUAUCGACUCCCAAAUGGAUGUUGGCACGUAUCCCCUGUAUGAUUUGUCGACCGUUAGUCUGAUUGAACUUUCCUUGAUUGACCUGGCCAGCCAAUUCCCUAACCUCCUACGAGUAUAUCUGAGCCGAGCGGCGUGAGUGCCUUUGGUCUCAGUGCGUUGUAGGCUCAACCAACCCUUCUUGAAUUCUUCCGGCCGAUCGGGUUGUAGGCUUGGCCCACCUUCGCCGAACUCUUCCGGUCGAUCACCGAACUCUUCCGGCCGACCGACUUGUAGGGACUUCGGCUCGGCUAGUCCCUUAGCUGACCACCUCUUGACUUUGACGACCACUUAAGCGUUGAACUUUCUUGGAGGUGGGUCCUCCUGGAUUAUCACCGGAUCACAUGCCUCUUCUUUAAGUCUAGUCGAAGGAGAUUGUAAGUCCAACUGACUGGACAAAAUGUUGCGAAGAUGUGAUUUCCUGCGGGUGUUUCGGUCAACUAUGCCGGUCGGCCCACUUUCACCGAACUCUUUCCCUUUUUUUUUUUUUUUGUUUUCCGAAGGGGUGCUUCUGGCGAGCCGGUUGGCCAGCAUGCAGGAUUGUCUAACCACGAGCUUUCUAUCCUUGCUCGGUUGGCUCCUGGAGCCGUUGCCAGGGCGCUCUUCGCAAAAUCUCUUGGAACCCGCACCAACCCGAGGCAUUGAUGUGAAUCACGCUUCCUUAAUUACUCUGACAACCGCCUUAUCGAUGCACGCCACGCAUCGCCACCUGCCGGCGCACGUUUGAAGUGACAGGCUGGGAUGUGACGUUUGGGUUAUUUGAAUUUUAACGGCCAGAUCUGCCUUUAGGUGUUCGCGCUGUCGAUCGGAUGGCUAGGCGAGGUCUCUUGAUGUUUAUAAGCUCGUCGCCGCCGCCUUCCUUCUUUUGUGCUUUCGUUUCCGGCGACUUCAUCCGUGUUCUUUAGCGAUUUCCCCCGUGUUCUCCGGCGAAUCCUUCGUGCUCUCCGGCGCAUCCUUCGUGUUCUCCAGCAAAUCCCUCUACUUCCCUUGCUGUUCCCAUCUCGGGUGAGUCUAUUGCCUUCUUCUGUAGCUCCUUUCUGCUCUAUCUUCUUCGAUUUUCCGGCGAGCCUCUUCUCUUGCCCCUGCCCCCCUUUUCUUUUUGCACCUCUUCCCGACUCCUCUUGUUUCCUUCCUUCUGCCAUGGUCGGUGCAUCGCAGCCUUCGUCUUCUGCCUCGGGCCCUUGGUACGAUACUAUGGAGUCCAAGUUCGAUGAGGAUGAUGCUAGAACCCUAGCCAAUACCUUUGAACUCCCUCCCGGCUACGAGAUCCAUGUCCCGCUAGCCACCGAUCGGCCUUCCGCUCCGCCGACCGGCUAUGUCUGCUUCUUCCGCGAUCAAUUUACUGCCGGUCUGUGGCUUCCUCAUCCCUUCAUCCUUGAUGUUUGUAAAUACUUCGGUCUAUCCCUUUCUCAGCUAGUCCCGAAUUCCUUUCGCCUUUUGUGCGGGGUAAUUAUCUUAUUCCGCUUACAUCGCAUCCCCUUGACCCCUUCGAUUUUCCACUUUUUUUAUUACCCCAAGCUAUCCGAUCAGCCAGGCACCUUCCUUCUGCAAGCUCGACCGGGCUUGGUCUUUUUUGACAGGAUGCCUUCCUCCAAUAAGCAUUGGAGAGAAUACUUCUUUUUUGUCCACUUACCCGACCGGCCCUCCUUCCAAAUCACUUGGCAACUUUUGCUGGGGCCUCAACCUUCGCUGCCUCGCUACAAGAACACUCCUGCCUACUUAUUUGCUGCCUCCAUGCUAGCUGGCCAGAAGUUCAACAUUCACAAGUUGCUGGAGGAAGGAGUCUUGGCACUUUUUGGCCUUAGUCCGAUCAGCCCAGACGAGCCAAACAACCUAGCCGACAUCAUGAUGCGAGCGUGCUUGCUCGAGUAAUCAAAGCUUACCACUGCCGAUGUUGACAAGGUGGUGGUUGAAGUCUUGGUCGAACGGGGGUUUCAGCCGGAAGAUCUCCCCGAACUGAUACUGCCCGAACAGGGGCCUACUCAGGAAGCCGGUGGGGAGUCGAACCUGAUGCCGGUUGGAGCAGCAGCGGCGGGAGCGUCGAUCGCAGAGCUUCCGGCGGAUUAGCUAGCUCUAGAAGAGGGCUCGCAAUCGGAAGCACCACUUGAGAAUACGCACAAGAGGCGUCGAGCAGAGAAAGUUGCUCGCUCCGCGUCUUCAGUAGCGAGGGUCGUCGAUCAGACUGGCGCUUCCGGCCAGAUAUUGUCGGAGGCCGCCAAUAUCUCUUUUGACCGGACACAUCGGAUGAAAUUGCAUCCAAUUAUCAUAAUAAUGUUGCCUCCAAUUGUUAGGGGAAAAACAUACGUAUAAGGUAUUCUAAAUGUAUGUUCCCCAAUCUUCAUACUGCCAUACUUCAAUUUCUUAUUUGCAGUUGUUUUUGAAUUGAUACCACUAAAGUUCACAAUAAAAG